GCAGUCGACGGUAACGGAAUCAGCUUGCUGAUUUGCUGACGAGUGGCGGACGGGUGAGUAAUGUCUGGGAAACUGCCUGAUGGAGGGGGAUAACUACUGGAAACGGUAGCUAAUACCGCAUAACGUCGCAAGACCAAAGAGGGGGACCUUCGGGCCUCUUGCCAUCGGAUGUGCCCAGAUGGGAUUAGCUAGUAGGUGGGGUAACGGCUCACCUAGGCGACGAUCCCUAGCUGGUCUGAGAGGAUGACCAGCCACACUGGAACUGAGACACGGUCCAGACUCCUACGGGAGGCAGCAGUGGGGAAUAUUGCACAAUGGGCGCAAGCCUGAUGCAGCCAUGCCGCGUGUAUGAAGAAGGCCUUCGGGUUGUAAGUACUUUCAGCGGGGAGGAAGGGAGUAAAGUUAAUACCUUUGCUCAUUGACGUUACCCGCAGAAGAAGCACCGGCUAACUCCGUGCCAGCAGCCGCGGUAAUACGGAGGGUGCAAGCGUUAAUCGGAAUUACUGGGCGUAAAGCGCACGCAGGCGGUUUGUUAAGUCAGAUGUGAAAUCCCCGGGCUCAACCUGGGAACUGCAUCUGAUACUGGCAAGCUUGAGUCUCGUAGAGGGGGGUAGAAUUCCAGGUGUAGCGGUGAAAUGCGUAGAGAUCUGGAGGAAUACCGGUGGCGAAGGCGGCCCCCUGGACGAAGACUGACGCUC
RNAcentral lists this ribosomal RNA (698 nucleotides) under uncultured bacterium. RNAcentral describes it as "bacterial SSU rRNA". It matches the Rfam family "Bacterial small subunit ribosomal RNA", at positions 57 to 748 of the family's 1533-position model. The record is from RNAcentral.